RNAcentral lists this ribosomal RNA (497 nucleotides) under uncultured bacterium. Its description in RNAcentral is "partial 16S ribosomal RNA". It matches the Rfam family "Bacterial small subunit ribosomal RNA", at positions 28 to 507 of the family's 1533-position model. The record is from RNAcentral.
GAUGAACGCUGGCGGCGUGCCUAAUACAUGCAAGUCGAGCGAACGGACGAGAAGCUUGCUUCUCUGAUGUUAGCGGCGGACGGGUGAGUAACACGUGGAUAACCUACCUAUAAGACUGGGAUAACUUCGGGAAACCGGAGCUAAUACCGGAUAAUAUUUUGAACCGCAUGGUUCAAAAGUGAAAGACGGUUUUGCUGUCACUUAUAGAUGGAUCCGCGCUGCAUUAGCUAGUUGGUAAGGUAACGGCUUACCAAGGCAACGAUGCAUAGCCGACCUGAGAGGGUGAUCGGCCACACUGGAACUGAGACACGGUCCAGACUCCUACGGGAGGCAGCAGUAGGGAAUCUUCCGCAAUGGGCGAAAGCCUGACGGGGCAACGCCGCGUGAGUGAUGAAGGUCUUCGGAUCGUAAAACUCUGUUAUUAGGGAAGAACAUAUGUGUAAGUAACUGUGCACAUCUUGACGGUACCUAAUCAGAAAGCCACGGCUAACUACGUG